Molecule: ribosomal RNA, 464 nt
Filed under: uncultured bacterium
Lineage: Bacteria
Description: partial 16S ribosomal RNA
Rfam family: Bacterial small subunit ribosomal RNA
Source: RNAcentral
ACGAACGCUGGCGGCGUGCUUAACACAUGCAAGUCGAACGGUGAACUCCGCUUGCGGGGGGAUCAGUGGCGAACGGGUGAGUAACACGUGGGCAACCUGCCCUCAGCUCUGGGAUAACUCCAAGAAAUUGGGGCUAAUACCGGAUAUGACCGCUGACCGCAUGGUCUGGUGGUGGAAAGAUUUAUCGGCUGGGGAUGGGCCCGCGGCCUAUCAGCUUGUUGGUGGGGUAGUGGCCUACCAAGGCGACGACGGGUAGCCGGCCUGAGAGGGUGACCGGCCACACUGGGCCUGCGACACGGCCCAGACUCCUACGGGAGGCAGCAGUGGGGAAUAUUGCGCAAUGGGCGAAAGCCUGACGCAGCGACGCCGCGUGGGGGAUGACGGCCUUCGGGUUGUAAACCUCUUUCAGCAGGGACGAAGCGAAAGUGACGGUACCUGCAGAAGAAGCACCGGCCAACUACGUG